ACAGCAGUAGCCGCAGUAAUACAGAGGGUGCGAGCGUUAAUCGGAUUUACUGGGCGUAAAGCGUGCGUAGGCGGCUUCUUAAGUCGGAUGUGAAAUCCCUGAGCUUAACUUAGGAAUUGCAUUCGAUACUGGGAAGCUAGAGUAUGGGAGAGGAUGGUAGAAUUCCAGGUGUAGCGGUGAAAUGCGUAGAGAUCUGGAGGAAUACCGAUGGCGAAGGCAGCCAUCUGGCCUAAUACUGACGCUGAGGUACGAAAGCAUGGGGAGCAAACAGGAUUAGAUACCCGAGUAGUCCCUGUCUCUUAUAC
This 305-nucleotide ribosomal RNA is filed under the name uncultured bacterium. RNAcentral's name for it is "partial 16S ribosomal RNA". It matches the Rfam family "Bacterial small subunit ribosomal RNA", at positions 508 to 807 of the family's 1533-position model. The record is from RNAcentral.